AACGCACAUUGCGCCCGCUAGUAUUCUGGCGGGCAUGCCUGUUCGAGCGUCAUUUCAACCAUCAAGCCCUAGGCUUGUGUUGGGGCCCUGCGGCUGUCCGCAGCCCCCUAAAAACAGUGGCGGGCUCGCUAUAUACCGAGUGCAGUAGUUUACUCUUCGCUCAGGACAUGUAGUGGGUUCUUGCCGUAAAAACCCCCCAUUUAUCAAGGUUGACCUCGGAUCAGGUAGGAAUACCCGCUGAACUUAA
This 247-nucleotide unclassified non-coding RNA is filed under the name uncultured Lasiosphaeriaceae. RNAcentral's name for it is "sequence contains ITS2". Lineage: Eukaryota; Fungi; Ascomycota; Sordariomycetes; Sordariales; Lasiosphaeriaceae. The record is from RNAcentral.